UUUUUGUGAUUGUUGCAGGAAAAAAUGUUCGGCGGCUAUAAAAAUCUCUUUCUUGUCCCAUGAGACAAAUUUCUAACUGCGAUGGCUUCCUGCAAAAACAAAACUGAAAAGGAGGAGGUCCAGAGUUUGCUCUACGCCAGCUCUAACGGCACUUUCGUUCACGUCACGGAUCUUUCAGACAAGCAAACGAUCUCGCGCGUAACCGGCGGCAUGAAGGCCAUGGCCGAUCGUGACUAGGCCUCGCCCUACUCCGCUAUCUUGGCCGCGCAGGACGUCGCCGAAAAGUGCAAGUCGCUCGGAAUCACCGCGCUGCACAUUAAGCUGCGUGCCAUCGGCGGAAACUGCACCAAUACCCCGAGAUCGGCGCUCCGUGCCCUGAGCUGUUCGUCGAUGAUUAUUGUGAAUUAUGUGAAUAUUUGGUAGUGUUUUGUAGUGUAACAGUUAAUAAAUGCUGUUUUUUAACCUGACAA
Molecule: long non-coding RNA, 470 nt
Organism: Culex quinquefasciatus (southern house mosquito)
Lineage: Eukaryota; Metazoa; Arthropoda; Insecta; Diptera; Culicidae
Exons: 2
Source: RefSeq, a predicted model, not a curated record